RNAcentral lists this ribosomal RNA (301 nucleotides) under uncultured bacterium. Its description in RNAcentral is "partial 16S ribosomal RNA". It matches the Rfam family "Bacterial small subunit ribosomal RNA", at positions 509 to 807 of the family's 1533-position model. The record is from RNAcentral.
CAGCAGCCACGGGAAUACGAAGGGUGCAAGCGUUAAUCGGAAUUACUGGGCGUAAAGCGUGUGUAGGCGGUUUGUUAAGUCUGCUGUGAAAUCCCCGGGCUCAACCUGGGAAUGGCAGUGGAUACUGGCAAGCUAGAGUGUGUCAGAGGAUGGUGGAAUUCCCGGUGUAGCGGUGAAAUGCGUAGAGAUCGGGAGGAACAUCAGUGGCGAAGGCGGCCAUCUGGGACAACACUGACGCUGAGGCACGAAAGCGUGGGGAGCAAACAGGAUUAGAUACCCCAGUAGUCCCUGUCUCUUAUAC